This is a long non-coding RNA of Camellia sinensis, 552 nucleotides long. RefSeq lists it as uncharacterized. The record is from RefSeq and is a predicted model, not a curated record. Lineage: Eukaryota; Viridiplantae; Streptophyta; Magnoliopsida; Ericales; Theaceae.
UCUGUCCAUAUUUUCCCUCUAAAUCCGUAUAUUUCAAAACCCCAUUCAAUCCGGGCAUGGAGGACCUAGUAUGGGAAGACUGAUAGCUGGGGGUGCGGCUGCUGCUUAUGGAGCUCAUCAUCUAUCGCAUGGCGGUCAUCAUUCGUCACAUGGCAGUCACCAGCUGUCACAUGGCCAUCACCAUGGGAAGUUUAAGCACGGGAAGUUCAGUAAACACACGAAGCAUGAAAAGCACCACGGGGGGAAGGUUCCUGAAGUUCAAGAAAUGGAAGUAAUUCUGGUGUGCUGCUUUAUUGUUGUACUGAUUCUGGUGUGUCAUACCUUACUGCUAGCAUUGUUUGCUGCUGUUAUUGCUUAGGCUUGCUGUGACUUUUGUCCCCCUUUUUUUAACCUCAUGAAUUGUGGAUGCAAUUUGAAAGUUACAGCAUUGAGCUACUGGCGUGCAUAUAUAAUUACAAAUUUUUUAUGUGGUAUUUUUCCACAUGUGAAUGAAUUAUGUAGUGUUUGGUUCACUAGAAUGAAUGUAGAUUUGAAUGGAAUCUUAAUUCCUUA